Long non-coding RNA from Agrilus planipennis (emerald ash borer), 5295 nucleotides. RefSeq lists it as uncharacterized. Lineage: Eukaryota; Metazoa; Arthropoda; Insecta; Coleoptera; Buprestidae. The record is from RefSeq and is a predicted model, not a curated record. The transcript has 4 exons.
ACAAGCAGAAAAAACCAUUAAACAAAUUUAAUUAAUUAAAUUGUCGAUUUUUCUUAAACUCAACAUGUUUUGAAUAUAAAUGUAUUUUACCUAAUAACCAAUCUUAUUCUUAUUUUUGUUCAUCUGGUUUUGACCGAACAUGCCUCAUGGUAAACGGCAGUGCUUGACAAAAUUUCCUCCUCCAAGAAAAGAAAAAAGAAGAAAUUUACCAAUGCGGGGAAUGCGACAUUGUGAAGAAAAUCAGAAAAUGCAUCCAAGCCAGCGCACGAGAUUCAUCAGCAACAUUCGGCCAUUCGGUGAUUCAUAAUGAAACAGAUGGUUGCCGUGCUACGUUAGUCCGACUCUGGAGGUGAACAUAAACUAGCAAAGAGGGCCGUGCCUGCUUGGGCUGUUUGAGAGCUCAAAUAGACUUGUCAUAAUGGGUUAUGUGGCGACAGCAUUAUACAUUACAGGCACAUCAAGAAAUUUCUCUUCAGCUGGACAUCACUAAACAGGGAUGGUUCGCAGAUAAGUGCAAUUACCUUCAUAAACUCUGCAAGCACCCGCUGUGUCGGCGUCUUCAAAUUGUGACAUGAACAUUUUCAAUAUUUUCAGAAUUAAAUGGGCGUUAUUUGUUUAUUGAAGGGCGUAUCUACGCCUGCAUAUAGUAAUUAUUUCAAAUCCUAGCAAAUAUGAAUUUCGGACCUACGAUACGCCCAAAACCAUCAGCACAAUUAUUAUAAAUAACUAUAUAACUUUAGUAAAAAAGCAGUUUAAGACUCAACUCGUUCAAUUCAUGCAGUGCAAGUAUUUCAAAUCAUUCUAUUCAAGUAAUCAGCCUUCGUAUAUGUAUGAACCUUAUCUUUGUACCAUAGAACGAACUUGUAACGUGACAUUUUAGUGAUAUUUUGCAAAAUGUAUUUUUUCUGUACUUGUUUUUAUUUAAAUAUAGCUCAAGAUGUUGAUGUGUCUUGUUUGAAACCAACAAAAUUUAAACACUAUUUACAAGUAUACCUGCGACCUUUCAAACAUAUCUCUACCAUUCAAAAUCUACAAUAAUAAGUUGUACCCCAAUUUCUGGUAAACCCUCGGACUCAUGCUGAACAAAUAGCCCUAAAAUCGAAAUUUUGAGUAGGAUACACCAAAAUUUCAGGAAUUUUACAUCUGAGAGCUAUGCAUUAAUUUAAAAAUAAAUAUAGUAGUUUUUGGAUUUUUUCGAAAACGGCGAAAACUUAAAAUUCUUGAUUGAAAAUUGUAAGACAUUAUAUUUUACAUACAAAAGCUUCGAUAAUAAUGCAAAUUUUUAGUGGUUUAGCCUUUAUAAGGUUGAAAUAUUUGGGAUUAAAAUAUCACCAGCCGCAGAUGUAAUCAGUAUUCUCCGUCACUUUAUGAAGUAAUCCUUAUGUCAGAUCCGUUUUUGAAUGGGGAGUUCGACGAAACUAUAUCCAAUGUGGACCAAAAAUAAUGAAUGAAAAAUCGUGAACUAAACGCAAUGCAAUUUAUUUCCACAUCUUGAAUAUUCUGUUUUUUGGUUCUCGUAUAUUCUAAUAAUAAAUAUUACCUUUCGUUGGCAGACCUAUUUAAACGGUUCCAACUGAGCUGUGUGUGAGCUGAACUUAGUGUUGUGGGUACUUCUUUUCUAAAUAUUUCAACCUUUAUAAUUGCUGAAGUAUUGAGAAUUCAUGUUAUCACCUAAGGAGAUUGCUGUUGUAAAAUAUUAUGCUUUACAAUUUUGGAUUGGAAUUCUUUUAAAAGAUUUCAAAAUAAUCCUAAAAUACUGCAUUUUUAUUUUUUUGGUUGAAGAAGUUUAUAUGAAGUUGUAGGUAAGGUCUUCAAGGUCAAGUUUUGGUUCACGCUACUCAAAAUUACGAUUACAAAGUUACUUGUAAACUGCUUGUAACAUUUUUACUAUGGAAAAAAGUGAAUGACUUCAGAGACUGUUUUUUCUCCUUGCAUUUUGUCGAAAUCAAAGACACAGAAAAAAACUAAGGUUAUAACAAAAAAAAUUAUCAUAAAGCGUGAGCGUACCAAGCAAUUUAAAUAAAAUGAGUAAGCAGUGACAACUCUAGAAUAUUUUAGAAAUAGAUGUUUACUUCCUGGAAAUGAUUUUUAAUGAUCAAACUUAGUUUCUUACUUAGUCUACAGACACAUUUGCUCGUUUAAUUAUUUUUCGAAAAUAGAUCUAGAAUAGGUAUUUUAACUGCUACUACCUAUAGUAAAAGUCUAAUACAGUGAUUUAAUAUUGUUGACGUUUUGUAUAUCUACUCCGGAAACAGCAAUAAAAAAGGACAAUUGAACAUACGACGUUUUGCGAACAUUGAAUUUCCGCCCCAUUUACGUAUACGGCUGUGGAGCCGACAGGAGGACAAGGAAAACAAUGGAAUAAGCAUCACCAGUGCCGGCACAUUAUUGUCGUGUUAAUGCACUUAAUGUAUCGAAUGCAAAUUAAUCGAAAUUAAUCCUAAGUAAUAGCGACGAACGAGCGAACGGUACGUACCCAAGUAUCUCCCGUGGUGCCGUGCACGUUGGCCGAACGGAGAACAACGAAUCAACGGCAACACAACCAACGAACGGACGGAAUGGAGCAUAAUUAAGCCGGAGCUCCCAAGAUUUACGUUGGAAAAGAAUAAGGGCGCCGCGUCCGAUAUAAAUUCCGACCGGAUCGCUGCGGGAAUAAAACUGAUGCCGCUUCGCAAUCGAUUUCCGCAUCGGUUUACGACCCGACGUUCAAUAAUACUCCGUUUUUUUCAUCAAAUACCAUUACAAAAGGUUGUGCAAGAAGAACAUGAAAGAUAUGAAUAUAUUAAGGCGAGUACAUUGACAUAAUAGUAUCCCAGACAAAUGAUAAAAUCUAAAGAUAUUAAUAAAUCUGGAUCUUACAGUAUAUGUUCAAUAGUAAAACAGACGUCAAUUUUACUUGCUGACCGAAGAUCCCAUACGUUAUUUUAAAUACAAUGUUAAAGUACUUUAACUACAAAGAUUGUUGUACUGUUCUUGAAACUUUUCUCAUUGUUCUAUACAUUGCAUUAAAACGGAAAGUACAAAGAAAAAUGUAAAUUUGUCCUUCGAGAUGGAUAGUUGGUUUUGUCCUUCAAAUCGACUUUCCCAAAAUCAUCAAAGGAUAAAAAUAUAUUCUUAGAAUUAACCCGGAAAUAACAUCUUCAGGUUUUGCCGUAUGUUUGAUAAACACUCUGCGACUUCUAUAUAUGUAAAAUCAAUUGUGAUCCCCAUUUUUCAUGCAACAAAUAAUGUGACUAUUAUCGAAAAAAGUUCCUAGCUACGGGCCUCGGCUAGUUGGAAACAUAUUCGAAGCAGAAACAGGAGUAAAUACGGGUACAGGAAGACCUGGAUUAGAUUGUUUUUCUAAAAUAGUUAAUGGAUGAGGUUAGGGAACAGUGGACACAGGGGAUGCGCGACUAACCAAUUUUGGGACUAACGACCCUACAGUAACGAUAAAUAAUAAUUUAUAAAGGUAUAUCAGUUGUCUUCGACAUGUAUUUUAAGAACGUGAUAUCUUAGUAUUUAUGCUUUUUGAUAACAGUAAAAAACUACAACAUUACUUAAGUAGGUACUUUUUUAACGGUUAGAUAGAUUCGUUGAUGUGUAACUCAUACUUGCAAUUCAUUUUCAUUUCUUGAAUCAAAUUUUUCAAUAUCUGCAUGCUCAUAUUUGACAAUGGAAACCCCUCAAGAAACUCAUGCAAGUUGUAUUUUCUGCGUAAAUAACUGCCGGUGGCAAUUUCAUUGGAUUAGCGCGGUUACUAGCCGUCGCCGUCACGGUGCUACCGUUGACUCGAUGCGAUACGACGCAAUAUACCGCUUGACACAUUACCACCUCAUUAGAUUACGGAGAAAUAUGAACAUUUAUGUAUGUAGUGUGCUGAGGCUGGACUGUGGUGCAGUAACUUGCGACUCGCUUCGCUGUUACCGCAAAGGACCCGGGAGGAACAAAACGGCCCGAGAAUUGUUAAUGGGAAUGACGCUCACGGCGUCUUAUCGUUACUGUUCGACUUCCAAAAUACAAUUCUCAUUUAACGUCACAGUGGGAAUGCCCGAAAUGUUAAUAUCAACAUACCGAAGAGGAGAGCCCAGCCUUUGGGAGAGUGGCAUCAGAAGCGAAAUUUUUUUUACAUUAGAAUAAGUCAAUCGAAAACAUAUAACAAAUGAAUAAUAAUUUUUCGCAAGCAAGACACCCUAGCCCUUUUACCUAAACGAAUGUAAUUUUGUAUCAGUUUCUGCAGAAAAAAAAAAUUUUUAGAAUCUUAAUAUUGAGUCAAACUUGUCCAAAACUUUCGAAAGUCGUAGACCAUCUACCUACAUCUUCAUCAACAGUACUGAAUAUGGGAGAAGAUAAUCAUAGUUUUGGAUAAGGCUUUUAAAAUGUUCUUAUUCCAUCCUCUCAACUUGUGAUGAGUAUUGUAAAUUGUUUCUUCUAAACAUUAUUAAUUCGAAUCCGAUUAUCUUUACCUUCUUAUUUCAGGAAUGACUGGACCACUUGACUUUCUUUCUCAAAACGUAUCUACCGGAUACUUAAUACCAUGAAAGUCUUCCGGGAUCUCUCACGAUCCAUUCUAAUUACUCUCGAAACAGAAAUAACGUUCGAAAUUGUGAAAAACGCUUUCGCGCACUGGAGGCGCACAAUUUACUCGGGUGUCGUUUGGAUUUAAGAUCUGUUAUCUUACAUAUAUUCGGGACGUUUCGACGCCGUUGCAUCGCCGUCGUCAUUGUAAAAGAGCGUGUGUGCUGUUGUUGUUGCUGUACGUGUAUGUUCGCAAAGUGGCUCUCUCCGCUUCCAAGAACAUUCAUUACAUGUGUUCCGAAGAUGCUAUCGGAUCCGAAGCGAGCGCAGAAAGGUUUGUUAAUGAAAUGCAGAUCUCCUCUCAACUGAAACACCUUUUCCUAUCUUCAGUAGCAUGCAAUACGUGAUCGUUUUUUUACGAAAUCGACGACAAUUCGCCGGACAUUUUUACCCAUUUCUUCUUCUUCUUUCUCUCCAUGCAAACAGGCUUAAGUAAUCAAUAAUUAUUGUAUCGAUACAAUGAGGAAGGCAAAAACGUCAUCAUACAUAAGCAACUUUUUUUUAAAAAUGUAUACAAUUCUACACGAGACGCAAAAAGUAGAACGAAACCUAAAGCAAGAAAUGGCGCUGGUGAAAAGGAAGUCUUCAGCUAAAUUUUGAAACUAGGCACAAACCUACUUCAGUAUUUUCGUAUCCUAUAUACAGCAAUUGAAGUGUCUGAUUUUUUAGGUAUCUAGGAAGUUAGAUAAGUCAGGACGGAAGGAAUAGUAGGGAUUUAAAGCAGAGGAUAGAGCAGCG